Molecule: long non-coding RNA, 1938 nt
Organism: Myotis daubentonii (Daubenton's bat)
Lineage: Eukaryota; Metazoa; Chordata; Mammalia; Chiroptera; Vespertilionidae
Exons: 2
Source: RefSeq, a predicted model, not a curated record
CUUUUAUGUAAUGAUGUUUACUUUGAAUUUCUAUUAGUUCACACACACACUCCAUCCAUGCUUUUGUUCCGGCCCUCCGGUCCAGUUUAAGAACCCACUGUGGCCCUCGAGUCAAAAAGUUUGCCCACCCCUGCUCUAAGAACUCCUUGCUUUUCAGUUUUCCCAUCCAUGGAUGAGUUCCUUAAAAUAGACUGCCCUUUUUUGGAUCAGUAUGCAUUUAUGACUUUCUUUUGUUUAAUAUUACGAGAUACAGUCAAACUACUGUGUAAAGGUAUCGUUUUUAACUGCAGGAUGGCCACUCUCAUGUAUGAAGGAAGCGAUUAUUGGGCACGUGAUCACACCGUGAGGCAAAAGAAAAAUACCGAUACUGUUUUUAUUUAAAAUUGAUAGUUUGUUGGUCGUGGUUUUUCUGCAUUAACUUCAAUUUUAUCCAAACGGCCACCCACAGAAAAUCAGAAACAGCCCUCCCUAAGCACAAACCACUCUUUUAAAAGACCAAAUCACAAGUCUUAACAGGUCUACUGACUCUGCCCUAAGGGAGGAAAGCUGGGAGACCUACCGCCAGGAUGACGGCUCACCUGGCAGGUAGCUGGAAAGGCCCAUUCUGGGUCUACGUUCAGAUAAACAUCUACACUUAAACCACCUUAAUCAUCAGUUCAAAGUGGAGUUGGAGGAAUCCCCCUCCAAAUGAGUCAGACUUACGUGAAGGUGCUUGGGGUCUAAAGCCCAGGUAGUUAAUUUUUCAUUCUUAAGACAGGAAGUGUGGGGUGGAGAAUUCCUAUUGGCUUCAGUUUUGCUCUGUGUAGCCCAAAGACUAGCUAGAUGCCUUUUGGUCACUUGGGCAAGAUUACACAGAAGCCAGGUGAAGUCUUGGCCACAGGGUCUAAGCCAGCCUCCUUCAGUUGGAGAAGGUGGAAUCUCGCCUCUCACACAAGGUCAGAAUCCGUGUUCACAGCUGAAACCAUUGUUGGUGCCACUGCUGGAGAAACUUGGCCAACCUGCCCAUCUAAGGUAAAGGCUCUACCUCUGACCACUGAGUUCACUCUGUACACGAAUAUACUUGUUACCCUCACACCAUGUGCUAACAAGGAAAAAGGUGACACAAUCGAAUGAAUUAAAAGUUUAAUUCUGAACCAUUUUUAUAACCGCAUUUUCUCUUGAAGCAUUGAGUCACAGCAGGUUACAACAACUUUGGGAUAAAAGGCAACUGGUAAACUGUCCAAAACAAGGUUCCAAAUAACACCUCUUACUGAUUUACCCUACCCAUACAUAUCCCAAAUAAAGUUUUCGAUCAAAAACAUGAAAUAGAUCCACCUGCUUAUUUUAAGCAUAUUAAAAAGGAAACUAAUUGGACCAUUUCUAUUUGUCUAUUUUAUACAAAAAGGCUACACAAUGUUACACUUUAUUCAGAUUACAAUUAGAGUGAUUAUGAAUUAGUGUUCUACACCAUUACUCAAUUCUUAAAAAUUAGAAAUUGCUGUAGCAGUAUUCACUAUAACUUAAGACUACAAGACUUAAAAAACUAACAGUUACUGCAAAAAAAAUUAAAGAGCUACUUCAAAGCAAGCAAAGUCAGUACCAUUACAGAUAUUAAAAAAAAUUUUAACAAGCAAGGCUAGAGUUUGAUAAAUUCCAUCCUGUGAUCCAUUCUUGUGCAUUCUUCACUUCUUGAGUCACUCCCAAAAUCCAUUUGUAUUGUUACUCCUCGACCAAAAAGGACCAGAACAAAAAGUUUACUUCAAUUGUUCCCAUAGGAAACUCAGCUUGGUUAGUGUGUCAGGCACUUUCUGAGAUACCAGCCCACCCCUCGAGCCCUCUCAGCAACUCUACAGGCCAAUCACAAUGCAAGUUCAGACAAUACCGCUGUAUAAAGAGAGAAAGGCUGCUAUUAAUGUUUAAAACAGCAAAUGUUACUCGUUUGAGUAUUAAGUUGCAAAA